Molecule: transfer RNA, 72 nt
Filed under: Schistocephalus solidus
Lineage: Eukaryota; Metazoa; Platyhelminthes; Cestoda; Diphyllobothriidea; Diphyllobothriidae
Rfam family: tRNA
About the family: Transfer RNA (tRNA) molecules are approximately 80 nucleotides in length.
Source: Rfam by way of RNAcentral
GAGCCCGUAGCUCACUGGUUAGAGCGUUGGACUUCCAAUCAAAAGUCGCGGAUUCGAGCCUCGUUUGAUCCA